UCUUUGGUUAGAUUAUGGUCAACGUACCUUUCAUCAUUUGAAAAUGCAUGUUUAAGAUAAACACUGUACCAUGCAAAUAUUAGGCAUUUCUCCAGUAAAACAACGAGCCAACGAUUAUUGUUUGAAAUUGAUAUGUCAAGAAAAAUUGCAUAUUAUUUUACAUGUAAUGGCGUUUUUUUUUCCUUUUUUAAAAGACUAAAAAUUAAAAUUACUCAAAGUUAAAGAAAUAGGAAAUUCUCAGAUAAAAUUAAACAUAUUACGACGAUUUAACAUAAAUAUCAUCAAGUUUAUCAUCAAUUUAUUUGAAUAUCAAUUGUCUUACAGUUUGAAUAUUUUCAAAAUAUUUUCUUGUGUUAGUCUUUUUGCAAGUUGUAAUCAUUGAAAUGUCUAAUUAAGUUUAGAUUGUUUUGAGGAGUUACUUGACGCUUUAUAGAGAAGAUUUUGGAAAAUUAGUUCAUAACUAGCUCUUGUCCCUUGAUGUAAAUAGGUUUAUUUGUUUCUUUGAAAAUAUACACACAGUUUUAAUUUGUGUUGUCGUUGCUCCUA
RNAcentral lists this long non-coding RNA (546 nucleotides) under Mytilus galloprovincialis (Mediterranean mussel). Lineage: Eukaryota; Metazoa; Mollusca; Bivalvia; Mytilida; Mytilidae. The record is from RNAcentral.